UUAUUAAAUCUUAGACUUUUUAAGACUUUUUAAGACCCUGCAGAAACCCUAGAAAAUACUAAAUCUUGGAGUACAUUUAGAUACUCAUUACUUAAAAAGCUCUAUAUACUCAUCAUUAUGAUUAGAAAAACUUGCAGAGAUUUGUCAAAGUUAUAGAAAGGAUCAAGUUUUCAAAUAAUGAUAAAAUGGACACAAGUGAAGCCCCUAAGUGCUUUGAGAGUCUAGUCAGUCAAGUGACACCAAAAAGGUUGACAAAUUUGAACUGUAUACAAAUGAGAGAUUAAAUCGCGUUGUAGUUCAUUGCAGAAAGAAAAAAAACCUUUUGACAGUUUGACAUAAUUCAAAUCACUUAAUUUCAAUGGGACCGUGCCAUUCAGAUCAGUUAAUCCAAAUGUUCCCUUUUUUUAAAUGAAGUGUUGUAAACUUUUGAACUUACAUAAUUGAACAACAAAGUAUGACAAGCUGCUUAUUCCAGAAAUGCCCCCCCCCCCCAAUCAGUACAUAUAUAUUGACAUUAUAGUGAAGUUAAUGAAAGGCAAAUACUGCUGCAAGAAAGGAAAAAAAAGAAGUCUUAAUAAAUAAAAGAAAAAGAUGUUCAGCAGUAAUAAAGUUUAUGUGAUUUGACUGAAACAAGCUGAAUCAUUCUAAAGCACAAUGAUCAUUACAAUAAUCAUGUUAUCUAUUUCAAUGGUCAGAUUUAUGCAGAUGUUCUUGGGCUCAUAUAUAAACAUGGUGUUUUCUUUUUGGGGUGUUCAUUAUGUCUUUUUAUUUGCACUAUAUUUAAAGUUUAUAUAAGAACAUAAUGCACUUUGUAUGAAAUUUGCUUUGCUGCAAGCUUUGUAGUCAUGAAACAGAAAAAUGUAAUGAUUAAUAUGAUUUAUAACCUGAAUUAUAAUCACAAAGUGGAACUGGUUGUGUAUCUCACUUGUACAUGCCACUAAUACUAAUAAAUAAACUAUAAAAGCUAAUA
Molecule: long non-coding RNA, 970 nt
Organism: Scomber scombrus (Atlantic mackerel)
Lineage: Eukaryota; Metazoa; Chordata; Actinopteri; Scombriformes; Scombridae
Exons: 2
Source: RefSeq, a predicted model, not a curated record